Molecule: long non-coding RNA, 338 nt
Organism: Hippocampus comes (tiger tail seahorse)
Lineage: Eukaryota; Metazoa; Chordata; Actinopteri; Syngnathiformes; Syngnathidae
Exons: 2
Source: RefSeq, a predicted model, not a curated record
GAUCCCCUCAAAGCGUUCCAGGAAUUGAGGAUAAUCCUCUUGAAAGAAACAUGGAAAGGCAAUCUACCAACUGUCAAUCACAGACAGGCGACCCAAGUUGGGAAUCAUCAAGGAGUCUGACUUGGGGUGUCAGUGCUGAGAAGGAUCUAUUUGAGCGCGACACGCUAUCAGCGGCAAAUCUGAAGAUGGGUCCAUUGUCAGACUGGAUGCACAUAUUCAUGAGUGAGCUACGCUCACAUCCAUGCUUUUAUAUUGUUUUGUCUUUUCCUUGGGCCGUUGCACAUGGUAUUUAAACAUAUGCCACUUUUAAAUUACAAUAAAUGGAUUGAAAAGAUUGA